Molecule: ribosomal RNA, 464 nt
Filed under: uncultured bacterium
Lineage: Bacteria
Description: partial 16S ribosomal RNA
Rfam family: Bacterial small subunit ribosomal RNA
Source: RNAcentral
CUACGGGUUGCAGCAGUGGGGAAUAUUGCACAAUGGGCGCAAGCCUGAUGCAGCCAUGCCGCGUGUAUGAAGAAGGCCUUCGGGUUGUAAAGUACUUUCAGCGGGGAGGAAGGGAGUAAAGUUAAUACCUUUGCUCAUUGACGUUACCCGCAGAAGAAGCACCGGCUAACUCCGUGCCAGCAGCCGCGGUAAUACGGAGGGUGCAAGCGUUAAUCGGAAUUACUGGGCGUAAAGCGCACGCAGGCGGUUUGUUAAGUCAGAUGUGAAAUCCCCGGGCUCAACCUGGGAACUGCAUCUGAUACUGGCAAGCUUGAGUCUCGUAGAGGGGGGUAGAAUUCCAGGUGUAGCGGUGAAAUGCGUAGAGAUCUGGAGGAAUACCGGUGGCGAAGGCGGCCCCCUGGACGAAGACUGACACUCAGGUGCGAAAGCGUGGGGAGCAAACAGGAUUAGAUACCCGUGUAGUC